Molecule: ribosomal RNA, 250 nt
Filed under: uncultured bacterium
Lineage: Bacteria
Description: partial 16S ribosomal RNA
Rfam family: Bacterial small subunit ribosomal RNA
Source: RNAcentral
UACGUAGGGCGCAAGCGUUGUCCGGAAUUAUUGGGCGUAAAGAGCUCGUAGGCGGUUUGUCGCGUCUGCUGUGAAAUCCUCAGGCUCAACCUGGGGCUUGCAGUGGGUACGGGCAGACUAGAGUGCGGUAGGGGUGACUGGAAUUCCUGGUGUAGCGGUGGAAUGCGCAGAUAUCAGGAGGAACACCGAUGGCGAAGGCAGGUCACUGGGCCGCAACUGACGCUGAGGAGCGAAAGCAUGGGGAGCGAAC